UACGUAGGUGGCAAGCGUUGUCCGGAUUUACUGGGCGUAAAGAGCGCGCAGGCGGUCGUUCAAGUCGCGUGUGAAAGCCCCCGGCUCAACUGGGGAGGGUCACGCGAUACUGAUCGACUCGAAGGCAGGAGAGGGAAGUGGAAUUCCCGGUGUAGUGGUGAAAUGCGUAGAUAUCGGGAGGAACACCAGUGGCGAAGGCGACUACCUGGCCUGUUCUUGACGCUGAGGCGCGAAAGCGUGGGGAGCGAACAGG
Molecule: ribosomal RNA, 253 nt
Filed under: uncultured bacterium
Lineage: Bacteria
Description: partial 16S ribosomal RNA
Rfam family: Bacterial small subunit ribosomal RNA
Source: RNAcentral